ACCGGGAGGACGGGUGGCGAGCGGCCCCUGGACAAGACUGACGCUCAGGUGCGAAAGCGUGGGGAGCAAACAGGAUUAGAUACCCUGGUAGUCCACGCCGUAAACGAUGUCGAUUUGGAGGUUGUGCCCUUGAGGCGUGGCUUCCGGAGCUAACGCGUUAAAUCGACCGCCUGGGGAGUACGGCCGCAAGGUUAAAACUCAAAUGAAUUGACGGGGGCCCGCACAAGCGGUGGAGCAUGUGGUUUAAUUCGAUGCAACGCGAAGAACCUUACCUGGUCUUGACAUCCACAGAACUUUCCAGAGAUGGAUUGGUGCCUUCGGGAACUGUGAGACAGGUGCUGCAUGGCUGUCGUCAGCUCGUGUUGUGAAAUGUUGGGUUAAGUCCCGCAACGAGCGCAACCCUUAUCCUUUGUUGCCAGCGGUUAGGCCGGGAACUCAAAGGAGACUGCCAGUGAUAAACUGGAGGAAGGUGGGGAUGACGUCAAGUCAUCAUGGCCCUUACGACCAGGGCUACACACGUGCUACAAUGGCAUAUACAAAGAGAAGCGACCUCGCGAGAGCAAGCGGACCUCAUAAAGUAUGUCGUAGUCCGGAUUGGAGUCUGCAACUCGACUCCAUGAAGUCGGAAUCGCUAGUAAUCGUAGAUCAGAAUGCUACGGUGAAUACGUUCCCGGGCCUUGUACACACCGCCCGUCACACCAUGGGAGUGGGUUGCAAAAGAAGUAGGUAGCUUAACCUUCGGGAGGGCGCUUACCACUUUGUGAUUCAUGACUGGGGUGAAGUCGUAACAAGGUAGCCGUGGUCAUAGCCUGGUUUUCCUGA
This 822-nucleotide ribosomal RNA is filed under the name Klebsiella pneumoniae. Its description in RNAcentral is "bacterial SSU rRNA". It matches the Rfam family "Bacterial small subunit ribosomal RNA", at positions 699 to 1533 of the family's 1533-position model. The record is from RNAcentral. Lineage: Bacteria; Pseudomonadati; Pseudomonadota; Gammaproteobacteria; Enterobacterales; Enterobacteriaceae.